Molecule: non-coding RNA, 21 nt
Filed under: Caenorhabditis elegans
Lineage: Eukaryota; Metazoa; Nematoda; Chromadorea; Rhabditida; Rhabditidae
Source: RNAcentral
UUCAAAUUUCAUGUAGUUUGA